ACUUAAAUAGCUUAUAAGAGCAUAAUAUUGAAGAUAUUAAGGAAAUUUUUUAAUUUUUAAGUA
Molecule: transfer RNA, 63 nt
Filed under: Chrysolagria sp. CHR01
Lineage: Eukaryota; Metazoa; Arthropoda; Insecta; Coleoptera; Tenebrionidae
Description: tRNA-Phe
Source: RNAcentral